This 253-nucleotide ribosomal RNA is filed under the name uncultured bacterium. Its description in RNAcentral is "partial 16S ribosomal RNA". It matches the Rfam family "Bacterial small subunit ribosomal RNA", at positions 524 to 776 of the family's 1533-position model. The record is from RNAcentral.
UACGAAGGGGGCUAGCGUUGCUCGGAAUUACUGGGCGUAAAGGGCGCGUAGGCGGACAGUUAAGUCAGAGGUGAAAUCCCAGGGCUCAACCCUGGAAUUGCCUUUGAUACUGGCUGUCUUGAGUAUGGGAGAGGUAAGCGGAACUCCGAGUGUAGAGGUGAAAUUCGUAGAUAUUCGGAAGAACACCAGUGGCGAGGGCGGCCCACUGGAUCGGUACUGACGCUGAGGUGCGAAAGCGUGGGGAGCAAACAGG